Molecule: ribosomal RNA, 465 nt
Filed under: uncultured bacterium
Lineage: Bacteria
Description: partial 16S ribosomal RNA
Rfam family: Bacterial small subunit ribosomal RNA
Source: RNAcentral
GACGAACGCUGGCGGCGUGCUUAACACAUGCAAGUCGAACGGAAAGGCCCUGCUUGCAGGGUACUCGAGUGGCGAACGGGUGAGUAACACGUGGGUGAUCUGCCCUGCACUUCGGGAUAAGCCUGGGAAACUGGGUCUAAUACCGGAUAGGAGCCAUUUUUAGUGUGAUGGUUGGAAAGUUUUUUCGGUGUAGGAUGAGCUCGCGGCCUAUCAGCUUGUUGGUGGGGUAAUGGCCUACCAAGGCGGCGACGGGUAGCCGGCCUGAGAGGGUGGACGGCCACAUUGGGACUGAGAUACGGCCCAGACGCCUACGGGAGGCAGCGGUGGGGAAUAUUGCACAAUGGGCGCAAGCCUGAUGCAGCGACGCCGCGUGGGGGAUGACGGCCUUCGGGUUGGAAACUCCUUUCGCUAGGGACGAAGCUUUUUGUGACGGUACCUAGAUAAGAAGCACCGGCUAACUACGUG